UGCGUAGGUGGCGUGGUAAGUCAGAUGUGAAAGCCCGGGGCUCAACCUCGGAAUUGCAUCCGAUACUGCCGUGCUAGAGUACUGAAGAGGUGACUAGAAUUCUCGGUGUAGCAGUGAAAUGCGUAGAUACCGAGAGGAAUACCAACGGCGAAGGCAGGUCACUGGGCAGUUACUGACACUGAGGCACGAAGGCCAGGGGAGCAAACG
This 207-nucleotide ribosomal RNA is filed under the name uncultured bacterium. Its description in RNAcentral is "partial 16S ribosomal RNA". It matches the Rfam family "Bacterial small subunit ribosomal RNA", at positions 568 to 774 of the family's 1533-position model. The record is from RNAcentral.